UUUAUGUCUGAGUGAUUACAUAGCGACCACAUUUUUCUUGAUAUUUGGAGUUUUACAUCAAAUAUUAAUCUGUUAUUUUUAGUGAUCAUUUCAAUAUGUCCUCCCUAAUGAUUCGCACAGACGUGACUGCAGUAAAGUUGCACAAAAAUUACAUUAUCGCCGGUAUUGGAAGUGACUUGAAUGUUUUUAACAAGAAUUCCAAUAGUUUAUUACAAAGAUUUCGCUGUUUAAAUGGUCAAAAAAUAUAUGGAAUUAUACCGCUUUUGCAAUCGAACAAACUUUUAGUUUACGGGGGUAAACAGUUUGUUGUGGUAUUAGAACAUGGUGAAUUUGUGAGGUUGUUGGAUCCUGUAGUCUGUGACGAUUGGCUACACUCUGGUAUAUGGAUCAAUGAUAAUGAAAUAGCACUGUUGACAGCACACAAUGUUGUACAGAUCUGGGAUACACAACUUGCAAUAUUAAAAUCAAAACAAAUAAGCACAGACAAUUCAAUUCUCUACAGUGGAACAUUACAUAAAUUGCAAGAUGAUAUCUUAGUGUUUGCAGGAACUGUAUUUUCAGAAGUUAUUAUACACAGCUGUAAGACUAAAAUGCCUUUGCAUCACUUAAAAGGCCAUAGAGGAGUAAUAUUCUCCAUAUCCUGUGAUUUACAAAAUGGUAUUAUAGUUACAACAUCUGACGAUAGAUCUGUCUGUAUAUGGGGCAUAGACAACAAAAAGUCUUUGGCUAACAUUGCACAUGAUACCAUAGAGUUCUGGCGGCAAGCUGAAAUUGUGCGUGUCCAUGAAAUAUAUGGUCACACAGCUAGAGUUAUGAGAAGUUGUAUUAUUAAUGAUUUGGUAAUUUCUGUUGGGGAAGAUUCAGCUAUAUGUUAUUGGAAUAAUGAUGGAAAAUUGUUGAAAAAGGUAGCGACACAUCAAAAUGGUGGUGUUUGGUCAGUAGAUGCUGAUGAUCAUCAUUUAGUAACUGGUGGAGGGGAUGGAAGUGUAAUUCUUCAUCCCUUGACCUCAGCAACAGAUCAAGGAAAGAGUGUUGUAUUGAAUAUAGAUAGGAUACCUAAGAAAACAAUCUUCACUGCUAGAAGAAAUAUUGCAAUUUUAAAUGAUACAGAUGAACUAAUUUUUUAUAAUGUUAUAAAAGAAAACAAAGCUGUUUAUAAAUUAAAACAUGAUUCUACUUAUAAACUUCUUAGUUUAUCAUCAUGUAAACAAAUGAUAGCAGUUACUGAUAUGAACGGAAAUUUAGAUGUUUUUGUAGAAACCUGUAAAGAAGACGCGACAUUAAUUAAUAUUGUAAAUUUAAAACUAGAUCUCUGUAAAGUUCUAUCCUUGCAUUGGGCUGGUAACCGGCAUCUAGUUUUAGGUUGUGAAGAAGGAUUAAUUAAAGUCAUAGCAUAUUCAGCAAAUAAAGUAGAAGAUUUUGCAAAUUUUACUCUGCCAAGUUGUAAGGAAAGAUGGCUGACUGCAGCUAACAUUGAUUCCACAAAUGCUAUCAUUAUAGUUGGAGAUAGAUGUGGCAAUAUCCAUGUUUAUAAAAGAGGAAUCAAAACUCCAUUGAAGAGUUUUAGUAAGGUCCAUGGAAGAUAUGGUCCUACAUCAAUUGUGAUGAAGAAAAAUGGUUUUGUGAGUACCGGACGAGAUGGAACUGUUAAGUUUUUCGAUUUAAAUGUUCAAGAUGUGAGUAACGCUAAAUACAUGAGCAGUAAAGAUAUGGAGUUCCAUUGGGUAGAAAAAUUUAUAGAUAAGAAUGAAAAAAUGAUUUGUGGCUUCCAAGAAAGAAUUUUUGUUGUUUAUGAUUUGAAAAGUGAUAGUAAGUUAGUAGAAGCGGCAUGCGGAGGCGGCCAUAGGUCAUGGGAUGUCGUCAGAUAUAUAGAAAGAGUAAACGAUAAUUAUGAGGAAUGCAUAAAAUUUAUGUAUGUCAAGAAUUCAGAUAUUCAUCUUCAUACAUUUUAUUUGAGCAAAAUUAUUUCAACUAACAUCGUAAAUGGAUCCCAUUACAAAGAAAUAAAUUGUUUGAAAAGUUUAAUAAUAGAUGGUUCCACUUUCUUCAUAUCUGGUGGUGAAGACACUACACUGAGGAUAUCUUUGAAGAUUGGUUUAGAUUUACAAGACAAAAUAAUUUUCAAACAUUUAUCAAAUGUAAGAACAUUAAAAACAAAACAAUUAGAUGAAAACAAAUAUAUCUUAGUAUCCGCUGGCGGCAGGGCCCAAAUUUGUGUGAAAUUAUUAAAUUUCUAUACAGAAAAUGAGGAAUUGGUUGUUAAAUCACAAGAUUUGAUAGACUUCAUGAUAAAAGGUCCGGAAAAGGAGAGAAAAGGGAAGCAGUCAUGGAAAAACUGUACCAUAGACUUCGAUCCAGAGACAAGAAUUAUGGCCAUAGACUUAUUUCAAAUUGAUGAUUACAAUUUCAUUAUUUUUGCUGGUUGUUCUGAUGCAGUUCUUAGAAUUUUCAAACUUAAUAUAAAUGUUGUAGAUUUUAAAUUAAUCACAGAAGUGAAACAUCACAAGACUUGUAUAUUGAAAACCCAUUAUUUAAAAUUUGUUGAUAAAGAUUUAUUAGUAACUGCUUCAACAAGAGGUGAAGUAAUAUUUUGGGAAAUAAAAGAUGAUGAAAUUAAUAUAGAACCAAUUUUCACGACACAUACAAAUAAAUCUGGAAUCAACAGUUUUGACAUAGCAAUUAUAUCAGAUAAACAUGUUUUAUUUGCUAGUGGAGGGGAUGACAAUGUUAUACAUUUAAAUCUUUUAGAAUAUACUGAGGAACAUAAAUUUAAAGUUCUUGAUAAAUGGUCUACUGAUAAGUACCAUUGUUCUCAAGUAACUGGACUCGUAUUAAAAGAAGAUAUAUUAUUAUGUACCUCGAUAGAUCAAAGAGUGACCAUGUGCAAAUGGUCUUUUAGUGAUCACAAAAUAAAAUGCGAUUUUUUAUUGCAAAACUAUAGCGAUGUUUCUGACAUACAAGGGUUAGAUCUGGUUGAUUUUUCUAGCAAUAAAGCCACUAUCUGCGUGUACGGCAAAGGAAUGGAAAUCAUAGAAUUACCAUUCCCCGGCUGAAAAAUGCUUGUGACCAAACUAUUGAGGCCGAUUGCGCACGCGCGUAUAGCUGACGUACAAGUGGUAGAACCGCCUUCAUAAUACCAAUCGAAGGCAGGCCCCACCACUUCGCAGUGGGGGUGGAACGUCAGAUCCUGGAGGUGGAAUGGGACGGUGGGGAUGGGACGGCGGUGAUCGUGAACACUGUUGCGGAGGU
This is an RNA transcript of Amyelois transitella, 3249 nucleotides long. It is a transcript of the gene named regucalcin-like, with no coding region annotated. The transcript is spliced from 6 exons. The record is from RefSeq and is a predicted model, not a curated record. Lineage: Eukaryota; Metazoa; Arthropoda; Insecta; Lepidoptera; Pyralidae.